Molecule: transfer RNA, 69 nt
Filed under: Plestiodon reynoldsi
Lineage: Eukaryota; Metazoa; Chordata; Lepidosauria; Squamata; Scincidae
Description: partial tRNA-Gln
Rfam family: tRNA
About the family: Transfer RNA (tRNA) molecules are approximately 80 nucleotides in length. Their secondary structure includes four short double-helical elements and three loops (D, anti-codon, and T loops).
Source: RNAcentral
AGAAAAUAGUAUAGUGGAAGUACAGAGGGUUUUGAGCUCUUUGGCGCAGGUUCAGGUCCUGUUUUUCUA